This 519-nucleotide ribosomal RNA is filed under the name uncultured eukaryote. Its description in RNAcentral is "partial 18S ribosomal RNA". The record is from RNAcentral.
UUGGUUACUCCCUUCUUGGAACCCCCUCUUUAAUUUGACUGCCCCUUGGGAAACUACCCCGGGCCCGAGACCUACAGGGUUGACCGAAUGAUAACUUUUUCUUGAUUCCGGGGAUGGUGGUGCAUGGGCGUGCUUAAAUCGUGGAAUUUUGCCUCCUUUAAUUUGAGGAAAUUCGAGGUCUAGCUUGUAAAGAAAAACCGUCCAACUAUCGCCCUUGUGUCAACUUAGAGGAGCAUGUCGAGUUUCUUGGACUUUACGUACUCCUCAACCUUGGUGUCCGGCUCCUUGAAGAUUGCCGGAGUGCUUAACCCCUUGCUCUUAAAGGCCUCAGGCAGUUCUUGAAAAAAAGGCAGCUCCUUGUCCCAUCCAAUGCAACCGCAGGGCAAUCGCACCAACACGUUCCCCUUUUGAGCCAAUUCAUUCAGAUCAAUGGUCUUGCCAGCGGAAUCCUUGAUCUUGAAUGUGGGAGCUUUGUCGCCAACCCAAAGCUGACUCGCGGCCGGUUCCUUGUUCUUUUUC